This 212-nucleotide ribosomal RNA is filed under the name uncultured bacterium. RNAcentral describes it as "partial 16S ribosomal RNA". It matches the Rfam family "Bacterial small subunit ribosomal RNA", at positions 524 to 734 of the family's 1533-position model. The record is from RNAcentral.
UACGUAGGGUGCAGGCGUUAAUCGGAAUUACUGGGCGUAAAGCGUGCGCAGGCGGUCUGCUAAGAGAGGUGUGAAAUCCCCGGGCUUAACCUGGGAACUGCGCUUCUAACUGGCAGGCUUGAGUGUGGCAGAGGGGGGGUAGAAUUCCACGUGUAGCAGUGAAAUGCGUAGAGAUGUGGAGGAAUACCGAUGGCGAAGGCAGCCCCCUGGGC